UGUUUCGGCUAGGGGGUCAUCCCGACUUACCAACCCGAUGCAAACUACGAAUACCGAAGAAUGUUAUCACGGGAGACACACGGCGGGUGCUAACGUCCGUCGUGAAGAGGGAAACAACCCAGACCGCCAGCUAAGGUCCCAAAGUCAUGGUUAAGUGGGAAACGAUGUGGGAAGGCCCAGACAGCCAGGAUGUUGGCUUAGAAGCAGCCAUCAUUUAAAGAAAGCGUAAUAGCUCACUGGUCGAGUCGGCCUGCGCGGAAGAUGUAACGGGGCUAAACCAUGCACCGAAGCUGCGGCAGCGACACUAUGUGUUGUUGGGUAGGGGAGCGUUCUGUAAGCCGUUGAAGGUGGCCUGUGAGGGUUGCUGGAGGUAUCAGAAGUGCGAAUGCUGACAUAAGUAACGAUAAUGCGGGUGAAAAACCCGCACGCCGGAAGACCAAGGGUUCCUGUCCAACGUUAAUCGGGGCAGGGUGAGUCGACCCCUAAGGCGAGGCCGAAAGGCGUAGUCGAUGGGAAACAGGUUAAUAUUCCUGUACUUGGUGUUACUGCGAAGGGGGGACGGAGAAGGCUAUGUUGGCCGGGCGACGGUUGUCCCGGUUUAAGCAUGUAGGCG
Molecule: ribosomal RNA, 613 nt
Filed under: Klebsiella oxytoca
Lineage: Bacteria; Pseudomonadati; Pseudomonadota; Gammaproteobacteria; Enterobacterales; Enterobacteriaceae
Description: partial 23S ribosomal RNA
Rfam family: Bacterial large subunit ribosomal RNA
Source: RNAcentral